Molecule: RNase P RNA, 384 nt
Filed under: Rhodovulum euryhalinum
Lineage: Bacteria; Pseudomonadati; Pseudomonadota; Alphaproteobacteria; Rhodobacterales; Paracoccaceae
Description: Bacterial RNase P class A
Rfam family: Bacterial RNase P class A
About the family: Ribonuclease P (RNase P) is a ubiquitous endoribonuclease, found in archaea, bacteria and eukarya as well as chloroplasts and mitochondria. Its best characterised activity is the generation of mature 5'-ends of tRNAs by cleaving the 5'-leader elements of precursor-tRNAs.
Source: Rfam by way of RNAcentral
GCGGAUGGCUGGAUGGCCGCGGGGGCCUGCCCCCGAGGAAAGUCCGGACUCCACGGAGCAACGGUGCCGGGUAAUGCCCGGCGGGGGCAACCCCAGGGAAAGCGCCACAGAGAACAGACCGCCACCGGGUUCGCCCGGCGGCAAGGGUGAAACGGUGGGGCAAGAGCCCACCGCGGGACUGGUAACAGGACCGGCACGGCAAGCCCCACCGGGAGCAAUGCCGAAUAGGGAUCCCGCGCCGCGCUUGCGGCAGGGCGGCUUCGGCCCAGGGGUCCGGGUUGGCAGCACGAGCGGGUCGGCAACGGCACGCCCAGAGGAAUGGUCAUCCAGCCCCGGAUCACGGUCCGGGGUGGACAGAAUCCGGCUUACAGGCCAUCCGCGCAU